RNAcentral lists this ribosomal RNA (256 nucleotides) under uncultured bacterium. RNAcentral's name for it is "partial small subunit ribosomal RNA". It matches the Rfam family "Bacterial small subunit ribosomal RNA", at positions 26 to 285 of the family's 1533-position model. The record is from RNAcentral.
AGGACGAACGCUGGCGGCGUGCUUAACACAUGCAAGUCGAGCGGAAAGGCCCUUCGGGGUACGUCGAGCGGCGAACGGGUGAGUAACACGUGAGUAACCUGCCCUUGGCUCUGGGAUAGCUCCGGGAAACCGGAAUUAAUACCGGAUAUGACUGCUGCUGACAUCGGUGGUGGUGGAAAGAUUUAUCGGCCAGGGAUGGGCUCGCGGCCUAUCAGCUUGUUGGUGGGGUAACGGCCUACCAAGGCGACGACGGGUA